RNAcentral lists this ribosomal RNA (505 nucleotides) under uncultured bacterium. Its description in RNAcentral is "partial 16S ribosomal RNA". It matches the Rfam family "Bacterial small subunit ribosomal RNA", at positions 28 to 507 of the family's 1533-position model. The record is from RNAcentral.
GACGAACGCUGGCGGCGUGCCUAAUACAUGCAAGUAGAACGCACAGUUUAUACCGUAGCUUGCUACACCAUAGACUGUGAGUUGCGAACGGGUGAGUAACGCGUAGGUAACCUGCCUGGUAGCGGGGGAUAACUAUUGGAAACGAUAGCUAAUACCGCAUAAUAUUAAUUAUUGCAUGAUAAUUAAUUGAAAGGUGCAAUUGCACCACUACCAGGUGGACCUGCGUUGUAUUAGCUAGUAGGUGAGGUAACGGCUCACCUAGGCGACGAUACAUAGCCGACCUGAGAGGGUGAUCGGCCACACUGGGACUGAGACACGGCCCAGACUCCUACGGGAGGCAGCAGUAGGGAAUCUUCGGCAAUGGACGAAAGUCUGACCGAGCAACGCCGCGUGAGUGAAGAAGGUUUUCGGAUCGUAAAGCUCUGUUGUAAGAGAAGAACGGGUGUGAGAGUGGAAAGUUCGCACUGUGACGGUAUCUUACCAGAAAGGGACGGCUAACUACGUG